Molecule: long non-coding RNA, 3603 nt
Organism: Passer domesticus (house sparrow)
Lineage: Eukaryota; Metazoa; Chordata; Aves; Passeriformes; Passeridae
Exons: 3
Source: RefSeq, a predicted model, not a curated record
CACGCAGAUCCUGGCUGCAGAAGCUCUACUUGGCCACGGGAUGGGGCUCUCCACACACAAGUGACAUCCCUCCGCACACAAGUGACAUCCCAAAGCCGCCGUGCCCACGGAGCGCUCCCCAGGCAGGGGCGGCCCCACAGCCGGGAGGGGACGGGGAGCGAUGCAGGCCUGCAAGAGGCAAAAACAGUGCAGAGAGACCUGCUUGCAUUUAAUCCUUCAAAACAGGGCUCAUCUAUUAGAGUUUGUGUUAGCCACAGAGAAGUGAACAGGGUGGUGACACUGAAAGUAUGUACUACAUGUGUUCGUGUGGCCCAAAGCAACACCUCACACCUGCGAAUAUCUAGGAACUCACCAAAAGGGAUCAAAAGCAGAAGAACCAUAAAUAGCUCAGAACAGUACAGUAUACCACUCUGAUUUGGAUUUUCUGAAAGCUCUCUUGCCAGCUUUGUGUGCCAGCUCCUCCAGCUUUCUGUGGUAGAGGUUCCCUGAGACAUCCCUACUAAAUGCAAUGCAUGGACCAUGGAAUUUUGCUUCUUUUCAAGGAGCCUGGGAAAAUGUGGAAGUGAGAAAAGUGGGCUUAUGUGUCUCCUCUCUGUAACAGACAGAACCACAAGAAAUCUGCACCUUGGAAUCCUUGAUAUCCACCUACUCAUACAAACAGCCAGUCAACCAGUCUGGAUUCAGUAAAUCCCUAUGCAAGUGUGAAACCAGCUGUUCUGAUACUGGGGGAGAAAAAACCAUUCUGAAAUAUGAGUUGGAAUGAGAGUUCAUUCCUGCAUAUUCUGCCUGAGAUUUUCCACAUACUCUAAGCCACCUUUUCCCUCCCAUGUUAGUGAUCUCUCUCAGCUCUGUGUCACCUAUAAGGCUUCCCUUCUUAGAUGAGACUAUUAAAAAUAAUCAGGGAAACCCUCUACAAGUUCCUCUCUAAUUCCUGUUAAUUGUAUUAGUGUGUAACCUGGAUGUGGUUUGCUUUACUGAAAGCAAAGGUGAGCAGAUAUUUUUAUUUAUAUAUAUUUAUAUUCUGCAUGGAUAUAUGCCAUCUGCUACAUCAACAAGCAAACUGCUUCAACUACUUCAUGGCUACAUUCAUUGUUCAUUUUCACAACUUUAGGAUACAGCUCAGAGGGUGAGCCAGUCCAGGAGCUGGAUCUCAGCUUCAUUCCACCUCCUUUUUAGAGUGGCCUGUGAGGCUGCAGUGGCACCUCCAAGCAUGAAAGGAGCAGGUCAUGUGCCUGUGGAUCAGAAGUGUCCCAUGGUCCAUGAACACAGCUGCAACCUGGCAGCUUUUUUCCAUCUUCUCCAAAGCAGAAUUUACAAUCUGGUUUUGACAGCCUGACACAAGUUUGGGAGAGACAAAAUAUAGACACCUGUGCCUGACUUUAACCCCAGAAAGAAGUCUGGAAUGACAAUGUACAGAAAGACAGCCUUUCAGGACAUGAUUUGUGUUAUCUAAAAGAUGUGGGAGUUGCUGACUGAAAAAAGCAGUUAAGGAUGAGCUUGGCUCAGAUGCAGAUAAAGCACUGUAAUUACUGAAGAUGAGUUCCUCUUCAUUUCUUGCACUUUCUUUUUGCAUUUCUUGCAUUUCUUUUUGAAAACCAGGGAGCUAAACAGAGGAGACACACCCAAGCUGACUUUCCCACAGGUAGAAAAGUAGGAGCAUGAAGUCAGCAGUCACUGACUGAUAGCUGAAAGCCUGAGUUGUGGCCAGGGUUCAUUACUACUUGUGGUACACAGUUUGAGUGUACAUUUACAGUGACUGGCCCCUGUCUCAUCAGGCAAACUUACUUAUUUUCUUUUUUCUUAAGUCAUAUUUGGAAUAUAAUACACUAAUUAUACAUCUUCUCUUGAAAUUCUUAAAAUACAGCCCGUGAUGAGUCAUAAAGAUGUUGUACACAUAAUGGGUUAGGAUCAUGGAAUUUUAUUUCCACAUAAUAUGUUUCAUAUUUCUAAAAUUUUCAUUCUUACCAUGACCUAGCUCGGUGCAUGGAACCAGUCUAUAUAUGAGUCAUAAAACAUAUCAAUGUGUCUAUAAAAUAAGCAAAAUAUUCUUAAAACAUUUUAUUACUCUCUAAGCAAAAUCACAUGUAUCUAAAUAAAUAUCCUCCAUGUAAUACAGAUUGAACCAGAAAAUGUAAUAACAAUAUAUUUGGACACCAUAUGUAUUAAAUGUAUAUAGCCAGGUUAUUCAAAGCUGUUACCCGCUCUGUAUUCAAAAUUCAUUAUUCUUCAUGCAACUUUACUUUUCUAUGAGUAACAAUUUUAUGUCCAAAUUUCCUCCAAAACUGAAGUUAUCUUAGAUAUUCAUUCCAAGCUCUUGUUUUAUCUACUCACAUUCAUGUGUCUUUCUCUUAAGUGAGUUGUAAUAAACAGAUUUUUCAAACUGAAAAAUGAAGUUGAUGCAAGAGGUUUGACUGGUUCCCAGAAUUUCCAGAGUCUAACUUUUUCAAGAAUCCAUCAAUGCUUAAGAGUAAAGGAACAAUGCUGUGAGUUCAACAAAACUUAAAGUCAAAUAUUUAACUAAAGAUUAGUGAAAAAAGUUUACAAGCAAAGACAGGUACCUAUAAAAGAACUUUCACCUCAAUUUCACUGUACAUUUUUUGUACCCUUGCCUGUGAGAAGCCAUCAGAGAAAGAAAGACUCAGGUUACACAGUUUGACCUCUUUCUAGAACAUAUUCUCAGUUUUACAACUCUUUUCUUUACCCUUAAUUAUUCAAAUAUCUUUGAUUUCAAAAACUAAUAUACAAAUGUAAAGGUCUCAGCAGUCACCCAACUGUUUUACAGCCUAAUCUGCAAUUCCUCUCCUCCCUAUUCUACUUAUUCUGCUGGAUAAAUAUAAGCUAUUGCCAACAUUAUGAAUUUUUUUGAUGUCUCCAUAGUUUUUCUUCUCUGCACAUUCUCUUCCUGUAGUUACCACCAUGUCCUUCAGAACAUGAAAUGUGAUUCCAGGCACAUGCAUACAUGGUGGAGUUCAUCACCUUCAGAACAUUAUCAGUUUUCUGCAAUAGCUUCACAAGACAAUACAUGAUGCAUUUUCUUCAGUACCAUUUCAAAAUAUGCACUGAAAUUUUUGGGGGUCUGUUGUCAGACACAGUAAAGUGAAUUAGCUAUUCUGAGCUAUUUGUUACUCAAACACUUAAGUUGUUUUUCCCCAACUGUUUGUUGUGAAGGCUUUUUCAGAGUCCUCCUGAAUUGUUUGACUGAAAUGAAAUUAUUUUUCCUCUAGAUCACACAAUAUAGAUAGAAGAUGUGAUAUAUUACAACACCUUGGAAAAUAAAUUGAAUUUCAUUUCUUUCAACCCCUAUUUCUCCUUGUAAUCUCAUCACAGCCAACCAUAAUAGUAAAAUUUUAUUUCAUGGGAAAUUAAACAUGAUCUGUUUUACACAAAGAACAAUCUGGGUAGAACUUGCAGGCAUUACCUGAAUUCUGGAGUGGCUGAGUUUCUCUGAUGAUUCCAGUAGAAGUAUGGAACUAAUAAUUUAAAUGUCCAAUGGAUUAAAGUGCUUGUUUCACUGACAUCUAAAGCUGUAAUAGUCAGAUCAGAUGCUUUAAAGUGGUCCCCAAAAUCUGUUGUACAAUUAGAAGGAAUAAGCAAACCAGUUAA